AACGAACGCUGGCGGCAGGCUUAACACAUGCAAGUCGAACGCAUGCCUUCGGGCAUGAGUGGCAGACGGGUGAGUAACGCGUGGGAACCUACCCCUUGGUACGGGAUAGCUCCGGGAAACUGGAGAUAAUACCGUAUGUGUCCUGAGGGACAAAGAUUCAUCGCCAAGGGAUGGGCCCGCGUCGGAUUAGCUAGUUGGUGGGGUAACGGCCUACCAAGGCGACGAUCCGUAGCUGGUCUAAGAGGAUGAUCAGCCACAUUGGGACUGAGACACGGCCCAAACCCCUACGGGAGGCAGCAGUGGGGAAAAUUGGACAAUGGGCGAAAGCCUGACCCAGCCAUGCCGGGGGAGUGAUGAAGUCCCUAGGGUUGUAAAGCUCUUUCACCGGUGACGAUAAUGACGGUAACCGGAGAAGAAGCCCCGGCUAACUUCGU
Molecule: ribosomal RNA, 434 nt
Filed under: uncultured bacterium
Lineage: Bacteria
Description: partial 16S ribosomal RNA
Rfam family: Bacterial small subunit ribosomal RNA
Source: RNAcentral